GACGAACGCUGGCGGCGUGCUUAACACAUGCAAGUCGAACGGAAAGGCCCUGCUUUUGUGGGGUGCUCGAGUGGCGAACGGGUGAGUAACACGUGAGUAACCUGCCCUUGACUUUGGGAUAACUUCAGGAAACUGGGGCUAAUACCGGAUAGGAGCUCCUGCGGCAUGGUGGGGGUUGGAAAGUUUCGGCGGUUGGGGAUGGACUCGCGGCUUAUCAGCUUGUUGGUGGGGUAGUGGCUUACCAAGGCUUUGACGGGUAGCCGGCCUGAGAGGGUGACCGGCCACAUUGGGACUGAGAUACGGCCCAGACUCCUACGGGAGGCAGCAGUGGGGAAUAUUGCACAAUGGGCGGAAGCCUGAUGCAGCAACGCCGCGUGCGGGAUGACGGCCUUCGGGUUGUAAACCGCUUUCGCCUGUGACGAAGCGUGAGUGACGGUAAUGGGUAAAGAGGCACCGGCUAACUACGUG
RNAcentral lists this ribosomal RNA (468 nucleotides) under uncultured bacterium. Its description in RNAcentral is "partial 16S ribosomal RNA". It matches the Rfam family "Bacterial small subunit ribosomal RNA", at positions 28 to 507 of the family's 1533-position model. The record is from RNAcentral.